CAGUAGCCGCGGGAAUACGAAGGGGGCUAGCGUUGCUCGGAAUUACUGGGCGUAAAGGGAGCGUAGGCGGACAUUUAAGUCAGGGGUGAAAUCCCAGAGCUCAACUCUGGAACUGCCUUUGAUACUGGGUGUCUUGAGUGUGAUAGAGGUAUGUGGAACUCCGAGUGUAGACGUGAAAUUCGUAGAUAUUCGGAAGAACACCAGUGGCGAAGGCGACAUACUGGAUCAUUACUGACGCUGAGGCUCGAAAGCGUGGGGAGCAAACAGGAUUAGAUACCCCAGUAGUCCCUGUCUCUUAUAC
RNAcentral lists this ribosomal RNA (301 nucleotides) under uncultured bacterium. RNAcentral's name for it is "partial 16S ribosomal RNA". It matches the Rfam family "Bacterial small subunit ribosomal RNA", at positions 509 to 807 of the family's 1533-position model. The record is from RNAcentral.